AAGGUGGUGGUGGUGGUGGUGGUGGUAGCUGAGGCAGUCAAGCAUGAUGGUGAUAGUAAGGAAUGUGAAAGACAGUGGUGAUGGUAGUGGAGGGGAAGUCAGUGAAGUCAAAGGUGUUGAUGGUGGUGGCGUCAGAAGACUGAAUGGUGUGUGUAUGGUGGAAAUGGUGAUGGUUGAAAACAAUCAAGAAGAGGAGAAAGAAAGAGACAUUUGACUGCAGCCAUGCUGGAGCACUGCCUUUAGUCAAACAAAUCGACCCCAGGACUUAUUCUUCGUAAGCCUAGUGCCUAUUCUAUCAGUCUUUUUUGCCGAACUGCAAAGUUAUGGGGAUGUAAACACACCAACAUCAGUUGUGAAGUGAUGGUGGAGGGCACACACAGACACACAACCAUAUCCACACAAACACACAUAACAGGCUUCUUUCAGUUUCUGCCCAUCAAAUCCACUCACAAGGCUUGGUUGGCCCAAGGCUAUAGUAGAAGACACUUACCCAAGGUGUCACGCAAUGGGACUGAACCUGGAACCAUGUGGUUGGUAAACAAGCUACCUAACACAUAACCAUUUACAUAUGUAUAUAAAUUUAAUUUAUAAUUAUUUUUCAAGUUUACCAAGCUUUUAUUUUUCAUUUACCUGUAUUUGAUUCAUUUGAAGUAUCAAAAAUUCUGUAAUAAAUGUGUUUCUGUGUAUUAAUGUAUGCAUGGGAAUUUAUUUCA
Long non-coding RNA from Octopus bimaculoides (California two-spot octopus), 713 nucleotides. NCBI's taxonomy places the organism in Eukaryota, Metazoa, Mollusca, Cephalopoda, Octopoda, Octopodidae. The record is from RefSeq and is a predicted model, not a curated record.